This 478-nucleotide ribosomal RNA is filed under the name uncultured bacterium. RNAcentral's name for it is "partial 16S ribosomal RNA". It matches the Rfam family "Bacterial small subunit ribosomal RNA", at positions 28 to 523 of the family's 1533-position model. The record is from RNAcentral.
GACGAACGCUGGCGGCGUGCUUAACACAUGCAAGUCGAACGGUAAGGCCCUUCGGGGUACACGAGUGGCGAACGGGUGAGUAACACGUGGGUGAUCUGCCCUGCACUUCGGGAUAAGCCUGGGAAACUGGGUCUAAUACCGGAUAGGACCACUGCCUGCAUGGGUGGUGGUGGAAAGCUUUUGCGGUGUGGGAUGGGCCCGCGGCCUAUCAGCUCGUUGGUGGGGUGAUGGCCUACCAAGGCGACGACGAGUAGCCGGCCUGAGAGGGUGACCGGCCACACUGGGACUGAGAUACGGCCCAGACUCCUACGGGAGGCAGCAGUGGGGAAUAUUGCACAAUGGGCGCAAGCCUGAUGCAGCGACGCCGCGUGAGGGUCGACGGCCUUCGGGUUGUAAACCUCUUUCAGCACCGACGAAGCGCAAGUGACGGUAGGUGCAGAAGAAGGACCGGCCAACUACGUGCCAGCAGCCGCAGUAA